RNAcentral lists this ribosomal RNA (485 nucleotides) under uncultured bacterium. Its description in RNAcentral is "partial 16S ribosomal RNA". It matches the Rfam family "Bacterial small subunit ribosomal RNA", at positions 30 to 506 of the family's 1533-position model. The record is from RNAcentral.
AUUGAACGCUGGCGACAUGCCUUACACAUGCAAGUCGAACGGCAGCACGGGUGCUUGCACCUGGUGGCGAGUGGCGAACGGGUGAGUAAUACAUCGGAACAUGUCCUGUAGUGGGGGAUAGCCCGGCGAAAGCCGGAUUAAUACCGCAUACGAUCUACGGAUGAAAGCGGGGGACCUUCGGGCCUCGCGCUAUAGGGUUGGCCGAUGGCUGAUUAGCUAGUUGGUGGGGUAAAGGCCUACCAAGGCGACGAUCAGUAGCUGGUCUGAGAGGACGACCAGCCACACUGGGACUGAGACACGGCCCAGACUCCUACGGGAGGCAGCAGUGGGGAAUUUUGGACAAUGGGCGAAAGCCUGAUCCAGCAAUGCCGCGUGUGUGAAGAAGGCCUUCGGGUUGUAAAGCACUUUUGUCCGGAAAGAAAUCCUUGGCCCUAAUACGGUCGGGGGAUGGCGGUACCGGAAGAAUAAGCACCGGCUAACUACGU